AACGAACGCUGGCGGCAGGCCUCAAACAUGCAAGUCUAGGGGGCGCAGCAAUGCGUCACCGGCGGACGGGUGCGUAACACGUGGGAAUGUACCUACUGGUUCGGAACAACUGCGGGAAACUGCAGCUAAUACCGAAUAAGCCCUUCGGGGAAAGAUUUAUCGCCAGUAGAUCAGCCCGCGUUCGAUUAGCUAGUUGGUGAGGUAAUGGCUCACCAAGGCUCCGAUCGAUAGCUGUUCUGAGAGGAAGAUCAGCCACACUGGGACUGAGAC
Molecule: ribosomal RNA, 270 nt
Filed under: uncultured bacterium
Lineage: Bacteria
Description: partial 16S ribosomal RNA
Rfam family: Bacterial small subunit ribosomal RNA
Source: RNAcentral